CGCCAGACUCCUACGGGAGGCAGCAGUGGGGAAUAUUGCACAAUGGGCGAAAGCCUGAUGCAGCGACGCCGCGUGAAGGAUGAAGUAUUUCGGUAUGUAAAGCUCUAUCAGCAGGGAAGAUAAUGACGGUACCUGACUAAGAAGCCCCGGCUAACUACGUGCCAGCAGCCGCGGUAAUACGUAGGGGGCAAGCGUUAUCCGGAUUUACUGGGUGUAAAGGGUGCGCAGGUGGCGGGGCAAGUCAGAUGUGAAAGCCCGGGGCUCAACCCCGGUAUUGCAUUUGAAACUGUCCGGCUAGAGUGCAGGAGAGGUAAGCGGAAUUCCUAGUGUAGCGGUGAAAUGCGUAGAUAUUAGGAGGAACACCAGUGGCGAAGGCGGCUUACUGGACUGUAACUGACACUGAGGCACGAAAGCGUGGGGAGCAAACAGGAUUAGAUACCCGUGUAA
RNAcentral lists this ribosomal RNA (447 nucleotides) under uncultured bacterium. RNAcentral describes it as "bacterial SSU rRNA". It matches the Rfam family "Bacterial small subunit ribosomal RNA", at positions 329 to 793 of the family's 1533-position model. The record is from RNAcentral.